AUCUGAGACCACCGCAGCGGUGGAGUAGCGUGGAGGGGCUGUCGACGGGGAAAUCCGGUGCGAGACCGGAACUGACCCGCAGCCGUGAGGUGCAUCCACUGGAUACCCGAGUCGGAAUGCCCGUCGGCAAUGGAUUGGUGCA
This 142-nucleotide non-coding RNA is filed under the name Luteococcus japonicus. Lineage: Bacteria; Bacillati; Actinomycetota; Actinomycetes; Propionibacteriales; Propionibacteriaceae. The record is from RNAcentral.